Long non-coding RNA from Cynocephalus volans (Philippine flying lemur), 1725 nucleotides. RefSeq lists it as uncharacterized. The record is from RefSeq and is a predicted model, not a curated record. Lineage: Eukaryota; Metazoa; Chordata; Mammalia; Dermoptera; Cynocephalidae. The transcript is spliced from 2 exons.
GCCUACCACACAAGUCAGUGCAGAAGUGUCAUUGUUACUUUCGAUUACUCAUGUUUAAAGAAACAAAUAGGUCAGAGUCGAAAAGAGGCAGGGCCCUGGCCAGUGGGGGGUGGGGUCCGACGGGAGCCUGGGAUUUCAGCGAGACCACAGGCCAGGUCUUGCGCGGGGUCUCAGCCCCCGGGCCAGGUCGCGAGCCCAUUGGGUCGCCCACCACGUGCCUCCCCUCCCGCUUCAGGCCUGGACCCGGGGCUCCUGCUGCCACUCCCUACCCAGCCAGCUCUGCCUCCUAGGAUCCCGCCCCGAGCGCCGGCGACGCGUCUACUCGGUCCUGUGGACAGCUGCUUCUCCUAGACUGCAGGGGCCUCCACUAGCCUUUAUAAGAGAUGAAAAGUUGUUCCAGACCUACGUCAAACGUUGACAGGGCUACCCCACUACACAGGGGAAGGAGUUUCGGGGCUGGGAAGCUGGAGCCGGGAGCUGCAGCCCAGCAUCUGCAGGAGGGCUCCCCCCGCCCCAAGAGAGAUAAACCAAACACCGCCUCAUCAGAUAAGAACGACGCCCUCGAUUUCACGGAUUUCAAGCAGGGGUUGGAGGCACUGAGGUCAGUAGAGUCCUGUGAAUGAACAUCACCCGAGGCCCAGCUCCCGCAGAAGAGGGUUUUUAUUUUAUUUUCUUUUGUUUGGUAUUAUUUCAUUUUCUAACACAAUGAUCUUUAGUCUGAAGCCUUGGUCUCUGGCAGGCAAAGCCCCUUCUUUAGCGCUGGGGAUGGUCUGCAGGGUCCCACCUCUGUCCACAUCGGUGCCCCACGCUCUCCCCGUCUCCUCUUUCCCCCGCGUCCGCACACCUCGGGAUGAAGCUGUCAAAGAGACUCAUGAUCGACCAAAUUCAGGCAGUCCAGUGAAGUGACACCCGACAAGGCCCUGUCAGUCCGUCCAGGAGGACAGAGAAGGAGGCCAUCAGGCUUAAAUUGGGUGCAGCAACCUCACCGUGAUAACUGCCUAGAGAAGCAGAGUUGCCGGUGCUGUUGACACAAGCAGAGUGGGGGGACGCGCCCAAGAAUUGGGCGCCACUAGUCUGAGUUCCACGUCACAUUCGAUCUGCUGUCGCACCUCUUCCUCAGGGACAGCAGGGACGACUCUAGGUGUCAUCUUCCCAGAACGAGGAGGAUAAACGUUCCUGCCCAGAACAGCGUUCGAGGGGGUCCCGCGGUGCUGCAAACUGGGGGUGGAGGCGGAGAGGUUUUGCUACUCCUGGAAAGAGAGAGGAAGCAUUGGGAGAGCGAGUCUCGGGGUUCUAAGAAAACCACCCCAGGCCUUAGGUGGGUACAUCAGGACUCAGCAUUAGCGCAUCAUUUUCUAAGUUGCUAGAUUAGGGAAACAAAACAAAACAAAACAAAAAGCAGAACUUUGGCUGUGGACAAAGAAAACAGAACAGGAAGAGGGUAGGGAGAGAAAAAGAGCGAGCAAGAGGGGGAAAAACACCUUUAACAUUUUUGCCAGAAGAUGAUGGGCGAACUAGAUCUGGAAAGAUCCAUCAAAGUCACAGGGUACGGACACACACCCUGCUCAGGCAGGACCCAAUGAGUCUGAUCUUAGCUCUUCUGAAGGUAGAAAAGAAAAAGGGGGUGGGGGGGAGGCAAUCUCCCUGCACUACCACCCCGAUGUAAACAUCUUUACCAUAUAUUCAUUAAAAGUUUUAAAACUGUUUUAUAAAAAUUGUAAGGAA